Molecule: ribosomal RNA, 210 nt
Filed under: Nectriaceae sp.
Lineage: Eukaryota; Fungi; Ascomycota; Sordariomycetes; Hypocreales; Nectriaceae
Description: partial large subunit ribosomal RNA
Source: RNAcentral
AAGCGCUUGCAGCCAGACGUGCCCGUAGUUGCUCAUCGGGGGUUCUCCCCCGUGUACUCUUCUAUGGGCAGGCCAGCAUCAGUUCGCUGUGGGGGAUAAAGGCUUUGGGAAUGUGGCUCCUCCGGGAGUGUUAUAGCCCAUUGUGUAAUACCCUGUGGUGGACUGAGGUUCGCGCAUCUGCAAGGAUGCUGGCGUAAUGGUCAUCAGCGA